GACGAACGCUGGCGGCGUGCUUAACACAUGCAAGUCGAACGGAAAGGCCCUGCUUUUGUGGGGUGCUCGAGUGGCGAACGGGUGAGUAACACGUGAGUAACCUGCCCUUGACUUUGGGAUAACUUCAGGAAACUGGGGCUAAUACCGGAUAGGAGCUCCUGCUGCAUGGUGGGGGUUGGAAAGUUUCGGCGGUUGGGGAUGGACUCGCGGCUUAUCAGCUUGUUGGUGGGGUAGUGGCUUACCAAGGCUUUGACGGGUAGCCGGCCUGAGAGGGUGACCGGCCACAUUGGGACUGAGAUACGGCCCAGACUCCUACGGGAGGCAGCAGUGGGGAAUAUUGCACAAUGGGCGGAAGCCUGAUGCAGAAACGCCGCGUGCGGGAUGACGGCCUUCGGGUUGUAAACAGCUUUCGCCUGUGACGAAGCGUGAGUGAUGGUAAUGGGUAAAGAAGCACCGGCUAACUACGUG
Molecule: ribosomal RNA, 468 nt
Filed under: uncultured bacterium
Lineage: Bacteria
Description: partial 16S ribosomal RNA
Rfam family: Bacterial small subunit ribosomal RNA
Source: RNAcentral